UGGCGUUAUUAAACAUAGACUUGUUUAAUUGGAACAAGAUUAUCUAUUUGGUUAUUUUAACGUUUUAGUAUUAAUUCUUUUGAAAUGUCGAAUUUGCGAAAGGCAUAGCCAAAACCCGGAUACAACAGACUUUAAGUCAAGAUGGAAAAUAAAUUGUCAACUAAAGUUGUCAAUUUAUUUUAGAGGGGGUGUAGGGUAGUGUUACCGUUGUGGCAUUUUACCCUAUUACUCACCAAGAGCAACAAGAGAUAGAGAGUGAGAGCAAACGGUCAUAGUACUCUUCGGAGUGAACUCACUAUGAUGACCCGUGCCAUAAUAUUCGUUUCCAUAGUUUCGAUGUUUUUUAGUAGUAUUUUCUAUAUGUUUUGCAUAUUACAUGAUAGGUUAGUCAUUGUAUGUUAUUCGUUCGUCCUUUAAUCAAUGGCUAAUAGAAGGAAAUUGUUUAGGAGCACUAGUUUGAAUAAACUCCACAGUAGGAUUAGCAACGGUCAUUUUGAAUACACAUAACACAAUUUGUUAAACACUCCUCACCAAUUAUGUGUACUGCCGUGCGACUAACGAUGGAAUGAAUAAAAAAAGGGUCACGAUGAACUUGGAUGAUCGUGGGGGGAGGUUAGCUACUGGGUCAUGUCCACUGCAGCGAUCUUUUCCACUUGAACCUCGGAACCAACAGCACCCAUCAAAGUUCCAGAAUAUAAGUAACUCGGUCUAAGAAGUUCGUCCGGUUACCAAAGCCAAAUAAAAGUCGACCACGGAUAGUUUAUCCUCGCGAGUGGAAAAGUGAUUUGGAGCAACGUGCAGAAUUGCGUAGAAUCAGGUGUAGGACCCAACAGUUUUAAGCUGUAGACACGUCCAACGUCUCAGCCAGAAGUCGAGCACGCCCAAAAAGCUCGCCAAGAAGGUCUCGUUGACCACGUGUCCUGACGUGGCACCCGCAGACCGCCGUCCUCGGUUUGCGAGGUAAAGCACCCCCUUUGGUUACCACCACGCCCGUUGUGGUCGUUCAUCCGCCGACGUUCGGUAGCCUGGCUAGGCUCCGUCGGUCCAUCCACACCCGUCCAGAAGCACACCUGUGCGCGACUCGGUAAGCCUGACGAGGCUUCGCCGAGAUCAUCGUCAGCAGCUCGAAGCAGACUGGAGAGCGCAAACCAGCAGCAGCACGCAGUACCGCCGGCCGGCAGAAACCCACACACACACACACACAUGACACCGUCGUAAGUAAUUAAAAGCAAGUGAAAAUGCAAAGACCGUGUUUCUUUUGAGUCCCUGAACAGCUUCCCCCUGUUGCAUCUCGACCCAGAGCCGAAGAGUCCUCUCCGAAAGCUCGCCGCGUUUGGUAAAAGAGGCCAGUGAAGAGCCCACCACCGAUCCCCGUGGCUAUUAGACCAGGGAGAGGUGGAUUUGUCUGGAGGCGUUGACCUCCAAGUUAAAAACUAACAA
Long non-coding RNA from Culex quinquefasciatus (southern house mosquito), 1440 nucleotides. RefSeq lists it as uncharacterized. The transcript is spliced from 2 exons. The record is from RefSeq and is a predicted model, not a curated record. Lineage: Eukaryota; Metazoa; Arthropoda; Insecta; Diptera; Culicidae.